Molecule: long non-coding RNA, 1506 nt
Filed under: Anser brachyrhynchus (Pink-footed goose)
Lineage: Eukaryota; Metazoa; Chordata; Aves; Anseriformes; Anatidae
Description: lncRNA (ENSABRG00000018103.1)
Source: RNAcentral
AUCUCCUCCUGUACGGCUGAGUUGCACAGAGGGGGUCUGACAAGAACCUGUAUCAAGGGGAAGGAUGUUGGUGUGUGCUGCUCAGACGCUGCAUGCUGCCUGUGUUUUGUUGGGGGAUUGCUUGUGGGAAGCUGGCUUUCGGCAGCUGACUCCUUAAGUCAUUGCUCAAAGACAGCCAAGAUCUCCAAGUAAGAGCUCGUACAGAUAGAGAAUGAAAAGUGCUUGCAAAGUGCCUUGUGCUUGGGUCUUCCUUGGCCUAGGAAAACCAGAAGCUCACGUUCCAGUUAGGAAAUUUCAGUACUAACCGGCCUCCCUCCCACACCUUUCCUGACAGGGUUAAGGUUAGAAAUGCAAGAAAGACGUACAUGCUUUCUCCAUGACGUGCUGCUCUUGUUCGAGCUGCCUGGGACCAAGAAGGAACAGCUGCUGCCUCCUAAGCAUCGCAAUACAAGAACAGACUUCAUCUCACAAGGAUAUUGCACUGGGGCCAAUUGGUGUGAAAAUUGCCACGUGUCGCUAACACCUCGCAGAACAGUCAGGUCCUUCGGUUCUUCAGGUAUCGCCCGGAUCAUCUCUGUGCAAAGCAACCUUUACGGAGCUCGGCGUAUCAACUGUGUGUAUUCGAGAGGUCAAGUCGACCUGGGUAAGAUUUGGACCGGUGGCUCCAGAGAGUCUACAGCGUGAAAACAUAAGGCUCAGGGAGGCAAAUUAGCCUUCCCUUUUAAAAAGAACUGAAGAUUAGAGGAGAUUAUAGAACCUAAUAGCGCGUACCUAAUUUUUGGGAGCACAGACCAUGACUGUGGCUGCUUGGUCAAAUCCAGUCUUGACUUGUCCAUAUGGCAAGGUGUGUGCUUCGGGCAGAGACAGAAGGAAACACCUAGGCUGCUGGCGUGGGGGUCUUCACCAGGAGGGUGGUCAGGCACUGGGACAGGCUCCCCAGGGACGUGGUCACAGCACUGAGCCUGACGGAGUUCAAGAGGCAUUUGCAGACGUUUUCAGAUGUAUGGUUUGAUUUUGGGGUGGUCCUGUGUGGAGUCACACUUGAUGAUCCUUGUGGGCCCCUUCCAAAUCAGGAUGUCCUAAGUGGUUUCCCUGGACUCCCGUUUACAUGAUCAAAUGAUGCAAACCCAGUCGAAGCAGCAUUUUUUUCCUGUAGACGGUGUGAUUUUGAGGGGCUUUCUAUUUAUUUAUUUGUCAAUUUAUUUUGCUGGGUGCUUGUCUUUUAGUCUUAACCAGCUGCAAUACGAAGAGGGCAGCAAAUUGCCCUGAACCCAGCGUGUUACCCUGAAGAACUUUCCUGAAUUCUCGCCGAACGUUUCUCUUUAUGCAACCAGCAAACCCUUCCAUCAGCUGGAAGCCUGCAUGGCAUUUGCUGCUCGUAUCCUUACCCGACCCAGGCACUCGGCAAACAUUCCUCCAGCAGGCUGUCAUGUUUCUCCGUGCCCCGAUCAAGCAGACGCUCACACAUUCCUUCCUCCGGCCAAGCUUCCUGCCGCUCUGAAAUAG